AAUGGACGAAAGUCUGACCGAGCAAUGCCGCGUGAACGAUGAAGGUCUUCGGAUUGUAAAGUUCUGUUGUUAGGGAAGAAUAGUAUAACUAGGAAAUGAGUUAUAUUUGACGGUACCUUACUAGAAAGCUCCGGCUAACUAUGUGCCAGCAGCCGCGGUAAUACAUAGGGAGCAAGCGUUAUCCGGAAUUAUUGGGCGUAAAGAGUGCGUAGGUGGUUUAUUAAGUCUGGUGUGAAAUUUCACGGCUUAACUGUGAAGGGUCAUUGGAAACUGGUAAACUUGAGUACGGUAGAGGUGAGUGGAAUUCCAAGUGGAGCGGUGGAAUGCGUAGAUAUUUGGAGGAACACCAAUGGCGAAGGCAGCUCACUGGGCCGGAACUGACACUGAUGCACGAAAGCGUGGGGAGCAAA
RNAcentral lists this ribosomal RNA (410 nucleotides) under uncultured bacterium. Its description in RNAcentral is "bacterial SSU rRNA". It matches the Rfam family "Bacterial small subunit ribosomal RNA", at positions 370 to 772 of the family's 1533-position model. The record is from RNAcentral.